AGAGUUUGAUCAUGGCUCAGAUUGAACGCUGGCGGCAUGCCUUACACAUGCAAGUCGAACGGCAGCACGGACUUCGGUCUGAUGGCGAGUGGCGAACGGGUGAGUAAUACAUCGGAACGUGUCCUGGAGUGGGGGAUAGCCCGGCGAAAGCCGGAUUAAUACCGCAUACGCUCUGUGGAGGAAAGGGGGGGAUCUUAGGACCUCUCGCUCAAGGGGCGGCCGAUGGCAGAUUAGCUAGUUGGUGGGGUAAAGGCCUACCAAGGCGACGAUCUGUAGCUGGUCUGAGAGGACGACCAGCCACACUGGGACUGAGACACGGCCCAGACUCCUACGGGAGGCAGCAGUGGGGAAUUUUGGACAAUGGGCGCAAGCCUGAUCCAGCAAUGCCGCGUGUGUGAAGAAGGCCUUCGGGUUGUAAAGCACUUUUGUCCGGAAAGAAAACCUCUGUCCUAAUACGACGGGGGGAUGACGGUACCGGAAGAAUAAGCACCGGCUAACUACGUGCCAGCAGCCGCGGUAAUACGUAGGGUGCAAGCGUUAAUCGGAAUUACUGGGCGUAAAGCGUGCGCAGGCGGUUCGCUAAGACAGAUGUGAAAUCCCCGGGCUUAACCUGGGAACUGCAUUUGUGACUGGCGGGCUAGAGUAUGGCAGAGGGGGGUAGAAUUCCACGUGUAGCAGUGAAAUGCGUAGAGAUGUGGAGGAAUACCGAUGGCGAAGGCAGCCCCCUGGGCCAAUACUGACGCUCAUGCACGAAAGCGUGGGGAGCAAACAGGAUUAGAUACCCUGGUAGUCCACGCCCUAAACGAUGUCAACUAGUUGUCGGGUCUUCAUUGACUUGGUAACGUAGCUAACGCGUGAAGUUGACCGCCUGGGGAGUACGGUCGCAAGAUUAAAACUCAAGGAAUUGACGGGACCCGCACAAGCGGUGGAUGAUGUGGAUUAAUUCGAUGCAACGCGAAAAACCUUACCUACCCUUGAC
Molecule: ribosomal RNA, 979 nt
Filed under: uncultured bacterium
Lineage: Bacteria
Description: bacterial SSU rRNA
Rfam family: Bacterial small subunit ribosomal RNA
Source: RNAcentral